RNAcentral lists this ribosomal RNA (449 nucleotides) under uncultured bacterium. Its description in RNAcentral is "partial 16S ribosomal RNA". It matches the Rfam family "Bacterial small subunit ribosomal RNA", at positions 331 to 794 of the family's 1533-position model. The record is from RNAcentral.
CCAGACUCCUACGGGAGGCAGCAGUGGGGAAUAUUGGGCAAUGGACGCAAGUCUGACCCAGCAACGCCGCGUGAAGGAAGAAGGCUUUCGGGUUGUAAACUUCUUUUAAGGGGGAAGAGCAGAAGACGGUACCCCUUGAAUAAGCCCCGGCUAACUACGUGCCAGCAGCCGCGGUAAUACGUAGGGGGCAAGCGUUAUCCGGAUUUACUGGGUGUAAAGGGAGCGUAGACGGCGGCGCAAGUCCGGAGUGAAAGCCCACGGCCCAACCGUGGGACUGCUCUGGAAACUGUGCGGCUUGAGUGCGGGAGGGGCAGGCGGAAUUCCUAGUGUAGCGGCGAAAUGCGUAGAUAUUAGGAGGAACACCGGCGGCGAAGGCGGCCUGCUGGACCGUAACUGACGUUGAGGCUCGAAAGCGUGGGGAGCAAACAGGAUUAGAUACCCUUGUAAGA